Molecule: long non-coding RNA, 1083 nt
Filed under: Macaca fascicularis (crab-eating macaque)
Lineage: Eukaryota; Metazoa; Chordata; Mammalia; Primates; Cercopithecidae
Description: lncRNA (ENSMFAG00000048381.1)
Source: RNAcentral
CCUUCCCAGGCGUCCAGGGAAGCUGCGAGAACCGCCACUCACGUGCCACGGGACCCGCGCACAGCGCGGGGAUGGCCCGCCGAGGUCGCCAGAGAAUCUCGGGGUCGUCGGCCUCCUUCCCGCAGCGCCUACCUGGUGGGAACUGUUGUCCUCCUUUGCCCCCAGGUCGUGUCAUUUGGCCGCGGGGUUCCGAGCCGCCAGGGCGCCAGCGCUGGGCAGCACGGAGCCGCUUCUGAACGGAGACUUGAAGGCUGCCAGACAGUGGGCGGCUGGGCAGGGGCGGUGAGCGUUCAGGGCCGGCCAGAGAAAGUUGGAAGUCUCUCCCUAACCUGUUCCUUGCGACGGGCAAACAUGAAGUCCAGUGCUGCCAUCCAGGCUGCCAUUGACCUCACGGCGGGGGCUGCAGGUACAGUCAUGCGCUACCUCACCAUGUUUCUGUCGGUGAUGGACGAUGUAUGUGGUCAUGGUCCCAUGAGAUUAUACUGCCGUAUUUUUACUACACCUUUUCUGUGUUUAGAUAUGUUUAGAUACAUAAAUACUUACCACUGUGUUACAGUUGCCUCCAGUAUUCAGCACAGUACCAUGCUGCACAGGAGUGUGGCCUCGGAGCAAUGGGCCAUACCGUGCAGCCCAGGUGGGGAGUAGGCUGUGCCAUCUAGGGUCGUGUGUGUAUGCUCUGUGAUAUCACAAUGGCAAAAUUGUGUAAUGACGCAUUUUUCAGAACACGUCCCGGUCACUAAGUGAUGCCUAACAAUAAUCCCAGAGAAAACCCAGUCCUCUCUAUUCCUCAAGCACCUUCUAAAUGAGAUCAAAUGAAAGGAGCAUGAAAAUACUACCUUUCAUCCGGGCGCGGUGGCUCACGCCUGUAAUCCCAGCACUUUGGGAGGCCGAGGCAGGUGGAUCACUUGCAGUCAGGAGUUCAAAACCAGUCUGGCCAACAUGGUGAAACCCCGUUUCUACUGAAAAAUACUAAAAGUUAGCCGGGCAUGGUGGCGGGCACCUGUAAUCCCAGCUACUUGGGAGGCUGAGGCAGGAGAAUCGCUUGAACUCGGGAGACAGAGGUUGCAGUGAACUGAGAUUGGG